ACGACACCAAGUUAGGCGGGGCCAACCGCUGAGUUUAUGCAUAUCAAUAAGCGGAGGAAAAGAAACUUACGAGGAUUUCCCUAGUAAAGGCGAGCGAACCGGGAAGAGCCCAGCUUGAGAAUCGGGCGGUCACGAAGCCCGAGUUUUAGUCUGCAGAAGCGUCCUCAAUGACGGACCAGGCCCAAGUCCACUGGAAAAGGGUACCGGAGAGGGUGAGAAUCCCGUCGUGCCCGGACCAUGCCGCACCACAAGGCGCUGUCGGCGAGUCAGAUUGUUUGAUAAUGCAGCCCUAAUCGGGCUGUAAAUUCCAUACAAGGCUCAAUACGGGUGAGAGACCGAUAGCGAACAAGUACCGCGAAGGAAAGAUGAAAAGGACUUUGAAAAGAGAGUCAAAGAGUGCUUGAAAUUGAUGGGAGGGAAGUGGAUAGGGGCCGGCGAUGCGGCCCAGCCUGAUGCGAAACGGCGAUGAGCCGGUACGCCGCUCGGCUCGGGCCACAGACCGAUGCAGGCCGCGCCGGCGGCCGAAGCCCAGGCGGAUGACCCCGCCCAAGGAGACGCCGCCAGUGCAACCGUGGACGCAACGCACAGCAGUCCCUCAGUGUGCCCACCCGUGGUACGGGUACACUCUAGGCACCGACCCACAGCCUCCCCAUCCGACUCAUCUUGAAACACGGGCAAAGGAGUCUGACAUGCGUCCUAGCCGACGGGCGCGGGAACCCAGAAGGCGCAAGGAAACUGAAGGGCGGGAUCCCCUUGAGGGGUGCAUGGCCGAUCGACCCCGAUCUUCUGUGAAGGGUUCGAGUUAGAGCACACUUGUCGGUAGCCGAAAGGUGGUGAACUAUGCCUAAGCAGGGCGAAGCCAGAGAAAACUCUGGUGGAGGCCCGUAGUGAUACUGACGUGCAAAUUGUUCAUCUGACUUGGGUAUAGGGGCGAAAGACUAAUCGAACAAUCUAGUAGUUGGUUCCCUCCGAAGUUUCCCUCAGGAUAGCUGGAGCCCAUGCGAGAGUUCUAUUGGGGAAAACCAAUGAUUAGAGGCAUCAAGGGCGCAUCACCCUAAACCUAUUCUAAAAUUUUAAAUAGGUAGGACGGCGCGGCUGCUCCGAUGAACCGCGCCACAAAAUCGAGAGCUCCAAGUGGGCCCUUUUUGGUAAGCAGAACUGGCAAUGCGGGAUGAACCGGAAGCUGGGUUACGGUGCCCGACUGCGCUAAGGAGUGUGUAACAACUGGCCAUUUUUUGGUAAGCAGAACUGGCCAUUUUUGGUAACCCAGAACCCACAAAGGGUGUUGGUCAAUUAAGACAACAGGACGGUGGUCAUGGAAAUCGAAUCCGCUAAGGAGUGUAUAACAACUCACUUGUCGAAUCAACUAGGCCCGAAAUGGAUGGCGCUGAAGCGUGCGAACUACACCCGGUCAUCGGGGCGAGCGCCAUGCCCAAUGAGUAGGAGGGCUCGGCGGCCGACGCGAAGCCCGGGGCGUGAGCCCGGGCGGAGCGUCCGCCGGUGCGAAUCUCGGUGGUAGUAGCAAAAAUUCAAAUGAGAACUUUGAAGGCCGAAGAGGGGAAACGUUCCAUGUGAACGGCACUUGCACAUGGGUUAGCCGAUCCUAAGAGACGAGGGAGGCCCGUCAGAGAGCGCGUCUGAGCACGAGCUUCGAAAGGGAAUCGGGGUAAAAUUCCUGAGCCGGGAUGUGGCGGCUGACGGGGACGUUAGGGUGUUCGGAGACACCGACGGGGGCCCCGGGGAGAGUUAUCUUUUCUGCUUAACGGCCCGCCCACCAUGGAAACGGCUCAGCCGGAGGUAGGGUCCAGCGGCCGAAAGAGCACCACACGUCACGCAGUGUCAGGUGCACCACCGGCGGCUUGUGAAAAUCUGGAGGACCGAGUGCCGCACAUGCCCGGUCGUACUCAUAAACGCAUUAGGUCUCAAAGGUGAACAGCCUUUGGCCGAUGGAACAAUGUAGGCAAGGGAACUCGGCAAAACAGAUCCGUAUCUUCGGGAGAAGGAUUGGCUCUGAGGGGUGGGCGCGGGGGCCUUCCCCGGGUGUCUAAUAGCCAACUCAGAACUAGUACAGACAAGGGGAAUCCGACUGUUUAAUUAAAACAAAGCAUUGCGAUCGUCCCAACGGAUGCUCAUGCAAUGUGAUUUCUGCCCAGUGCUCUCAAUGUCAAAGUGAAGAAAUUCAACCAAGCGCGGGUAAACGGCGAGAGUAACUAUGACUCUCUUAAGGCAGCCAAAUGCCUCGUCAUCUAAUUAGUGACGCACAUGAAUGGAUUAACGAGAUUCCCACUAUCCCUUCUACUAUCCAGUGAAACCGAAGCCAAGGGAGCGGGCUUGGCCGAAUCAGCGGGGGAAAGAUGGCCCUGUUGAGCUUGACUCUAGUCUGACUUUGUGAAAUGACUUGAGAGGUGUAGGAUAAGUGGAAGCCCUCUGGCGGAAGUGAAAUACCACUACUUUUAACAUUAUUUUACUUAUUCCGUGGACCGGAGGCGGGGCUCCGUCCCUCCUUUUUGCUCCAUGACACACCCCUUGCGUGUAUGUACCACAAGUGCACGGGUUGUCGAAGUAAUAAUUACCCUGAUUAGUGGGUAGUCGAAUCCACAGAGAACAGAAGUAUUAGUAAUGACUAAUUCUCAGUUAUCUAGUCGAAUCGAUAAUAUGAAGCAAUGGAUGUAAUGUGUAAAAUAAGAAAAUCAUAAGCAAGCAAGUAAAGGAAAAAGGUAAAGGAGAUCUCUAUCAAUGAAGAUGAGAUACCCGGGCAAUGCUCCCCCUAGGCUCUAUCAUGAAGUGCAAGACUAACUAAAUGCUUCCAAACCGAGUUCUAUGAGUCGAGGCAAUCCAAGAAUAAUUGGUCCCUGCCUCCAUGCCACCGAUACUAGUCCCUACAAGAUCCCGGCGGAGAAAUCGCUCAAUCU
RNAcentral lists this ribosomal RNA (2912 nucleotides) under Dioscorea alata (purple yam). RNAcentral's name for it is "eukaryotic LSU rRNA". It matches the Rfam family "Eukaryotic large subunit ribosomal RNA", at positions 1 to 2592 of the family's 3401-position model. Lineage: Eukaryota; Viridiplantae; Streptophyta; Magnoliopsida; Dioscoreales; Dioscoreaceae. The record is from RNAcentral.